RNAcentral lists this ribosomal RNA (492 nucleotides) under uncultured bacterium. Its description in RNAcentral is "bacterial SSU rRNA". It matches the Rfam family "Bacterial small subunit ribosomal RNA", at positions 28 to 505 of the family's 1533-position model. The record is from RNAcentral.
GAUGAACGCUAGCUACAGGCUUAACACAUGCAAGUCGAGGGGAAACGAUAUUGGAAGCUUGCUUCUGAUAGGCGUCGACCGGCGCACGGGUGAGUAACGCGUAUCCAACCUGCCCAUCACUUGGGGAUAACCUUGCGAAAGUAAGACUAAUACCCAAUGACGUCUCUAGAAGACAUCUGAAAGAGAUUAAAGAUUUAUCGGUGAUGGAUGGGGAUGCGUCUGAUUAGCUUGUUGGCGGGGUAACGGCCCACCAAGGCGACGAUCAGUAGGGGGUUCUGAGAGGAAGGUCCCCCCACAUUGGAACUGAGACACGGUCCAAACUCCUACGGGAGGCAGCAGUGAGGAAUAUUGGUCAAUGGACGAGAGUCUGAACCAGCCAAGUAGCGUGCAGGAUGACGGCCCUAUGGGUUGUAAACUGCUUUUAUAAGGGAAUAAAGUGGGAGUCGUGACUCUUUUUGCAUGUACCUUAUGAAUAAGGACCGGCUAAUUCCG